UAGUGGCGAACGGGUGAGUAACACGUGGGCAAUCUGCCCUUCACUCUGGGACAAGCCCUGGAAACGGGGUCUAAUACCGGAUAAUACCUGCCUGGGCAUCUGGGUGGGUUGAAAGCUCCGGCGGUGAAGGAUGAGCCCGCGGCCUAUCAGCUUGUUGGUGAGGUAGUGGCUCACCAAGGCGACGACGGGUAGCCGGCCUGAGAGGGCGACCGGCCACACUGGGACUGAGACACGGCCCAGACUCCUACGGGAGGCAGCAGUGGGGAAUAUUGCACAAUGGGCGAAAGCCUGAUGCAGCGACGCCGCGUGAGGGAUGACGGCCUUCGGGUUGUAAACCUCUUUCAGCAGGGAAGAAGCGAGAGUGACGGUACCUGCAGAAGAAGCGCCGGCUAACUACGUGCCAGCAGCCGCGGUAAUACGUAGGGCGCAAGCGUUGUCCGGAAUUAUUGGGCGUAAAGAGCUCGUAGGCGGCUUGUCACGUCGGGUGUGAAAGCCCGGGGCUUAACCCCGGGUCUGCAUUCGAU
RNAcentral lists this ribosomal RNA (524 nucleotides) under Streptomyces sp. 306H08. Its description in RNAcentral is "bacterial SSU rRNA". It matches the Rfam family "Bacterial small subunit ribosomal RNA", at positions 93 to 631 of the family's 1533-position model. Lineage: Bacteria; Bacillati; Actinomycetota; Actinomycetes; Kitasatosporales; Streptomycetaceae. The record is from RNAcentral.